CCCAAGAUUAUUGCUAAAUAUUAAUUAACAAGAAGAAGAUCUUAGUUUCAAUGUUAGUUAAGGGGUAACAUUUGACUAGAAUAUGAGCCACUUAUGGCACAUCAUAACCCUCUGCCUCACCAUACUUGCAUUAGAUGUGAUAGUGUUUUUUCAUUGCUUAUUUUAUGUGAUUUUAUUAAGACUGCUAUAGAUCUCCACAAGGUAGAGUGCUAUCCUUGCCUGGACCACCUCGGAGAGACUUUCAAGAUGAUUGAAGCAGGAUACCAAACUUCAGUUCUCUACUAAUUCUUAAGUUGCCCUUAGGUGUUCUGAAUAAGUUUGCAACUAUCAACUUGUACUAGCAGGUACUAGAUGUACUGUGCUUACCUGUACAACACCAAUAGAAUUUCAGGCUUGAUACAUCCUUAUAACACCACAUGGUACAAGUGUUAUGCCAACUCCAACAACAUACCCUGUGCGAGUGCAAGGUAUACUGUAAUGGACUGCCAUAUAGCAGCAAGGUAUCGGUAUGGGGUCUGGUGUUGACGCUUAAGGCACUGGUUACAAUACCUCCUUUUGCCAACUAUUAUUCUGAUACUUAUAAGUCACCGCAAAAAUGCACAAUCCAUGUCUUCAAAUGCACUAGAUAAUUUUAGACUCUGCAGAUCUUUUAGUGAUCCUUCUGACAAGUCUACCUUGUAUAGCAUUUCAUUAUCCUGCUAGAUAUUGUUCCCGAAUUUCAAGACAAUAAAUAUCUCCUCUGACGGUAAAUUCUUCAUCCUCACAUACUCUAUGUAUCCCCUAUCUAUCUUUUAAUGUGGCUGAUCUACCUUCUCACACUAAUUGGUCAUCUAUCACCACCAAUUUUUAUGCAGAUUUUCUCAUCCAAGAAAUGGUUGUAACAGUCCAGGCAGAAUGUUGGCCUCAAAUUUGCUUAUUCUCAUCCUCUUACCAUGUUAAGGAUCAUGAUAGCCUCUAGGACCAUAUCCUCUAUAACUAUUCUUCUUCAAACCUAGAUCUUAUCGUGAGCCAAUGAACAUCAUAUUUGAUGAGUGCACUGCUCCUAAUGUAGCUUAAAUACUAGAGCUUCUUGUGGAAAGAUAUUGCAAAGCUGAAUAACAAGACAAAACAAUAUAGAAGAAAACAGAGAGAAAAAACAGGAGCGGGAUGGUUGAGGGCCUAAGGCCUUCAAGUAUGUUGAUGCAUCCAAAGACUAGGGAACGUCACGAGUGUUGAAGAAUUUAAUAGAUUAAAUUUCAUUCUUUAGUUUCAA
This 1252-nucleotide long non-coding RNA is filed under the name Elaeis guineensis (African oil palm). Its description in RNAcentral is "long non-coding RNA (EGUI_LNC081595)". Lineage: Eukaryota; Viridiplantae; Streptophyta; Magnoliopsida; Arecales; Arecaceae. The record is from RNAcentral.